GCCUACGGGGGGCAGCAGUGGGGAAUAUUGGACAAUGGGGGGAACCCUGAUCCAGCGACGCCGCGUGAGUGAAGAAGUAUUUCGGUAUGUAAAGCUCUAUCAGCAGGGAAGAAAGAAAUGACGGUACCUGACUAAGAAGCCCCGGCUAACUACGUGCCAGCAGCCGCGGUAAUACGUAGGGGGCAAGCGUUAUCCGGAUUUACUGGGUGUAAAGGGAGCGUAGACGGUUACGCAAGUCUGAAGUGAAAGCCCGUGGCUCAACCGCGGAACUGCUUUGGAAACUGUAUAGCUUGAGUACUGGAGAG
This 305-nucleotide ribosomal RNA is filed under the name uncultured bacterium. Its description in RNAcentral is "bacterial SSU rRNA". It matches the Rfam family "Bacterial small subunit ribosomal RNA", at positions 337 to 656 of the family's 1533-position model. The record is from RNAcentral.